This 529-nucleotide ribosomal RNA is filed under the name uncultured Planctomycetia bacterium. RNAcentral's name for it is "bacterial SSU rRNA". It matches the Rfam family "Bacterial small subunit ribosomal RNA", at positions 53 to 608 of the family's 1533-position model. The record is from RNAcentral. Lineage: Bacteria; Pseudomonadati; Planctomycetota; Planctomycetia.
GCAUGCAAGUCGAGCGAGGCCAGUUUGUAGCAAUACGAGCUGAGUCGAGCGGCGCAAGGGGCAGUAAUGCAUGGGUAACGUACCUCCGGGUCGCGGAUAGCCAUGGGAAACUAUGGGUAAUACGCGAUAAAGCUGAGAAGCCAAAGGCUUGCCGCCCGGAGAGCGGCUCAUGUCGUAUUAGCUAGUUGGUGGGGUAACGGCCCACCAAGGCGAAGAUGCGUAGCGGGUGUGAGAGCACGACCCGCGCCACUGGCACUGAGACACUGGCCAGACACCUACGGGUGGCUGCAGUCGAGGAUCUUCGGCAAUGAGCGCAAGCUUGACCGAGCGACGCCGCGUGGAGGAUGAAGGCCUUCGGGUUGUAAACUCCUUUUGUGGGGGAGGAAAUUUCUGACCUAUCCCAUGAAUAAGCACGGGCUAAGUUCGUGCCAGCAGCCGCGGUAAGACGAACCGUGCGAACGUUGUUCGGAAUCACUGGGCUUAGAGGGCGCGUAGGUGGCUAGCCAAGUCGGGGGUGAAAUCUUUCGGC